AUUGAACGCUGGCGGCAGGCCUAACACAUGCAAGUCGAGCGGAUGAAGGGAGCUUGCUCCUGGAUUCAGCGGCGGACGGGUGAGUAAUGCCUAGGAAUCUGCCUGGUAGUGGGGGAUAACGUCCGGAAACGGGCGCUAAUACCGCAUACGUCCUGAGGGAGAAAGUGGGGGAUCUUCGGACCUCACGCUAUCAGAUGAGCCUAGGUCGGAUUAGCUAGUUGGUGGGGUAAAGGCCUACCAAGGCGACGAUCCGUAACUGGUCUGAGAGGAUGAUCAGUCACACUGGAAAUGAGACACGGUCAAGACGCCUACGGGAGGCAGCAGUGGGGAAUAUUGGACAAUGGGCGAAAGACUGAUCCAGACAUGCCGCGUGUGUGAAGAAGGUAUUCGGAUUGUAAAGAACAUGAAGUUGGGAGGAAGGGCAGUAAGUUAAUACCUUGCUGUUUUGACGUUACCAACAGAAUAAGCACCGGCUAACUUCGUG
RNAcentral lists this ribosomal RNA (484 nucleotides) under uncultured bacterium. RNAcentral's name for it is "partial 16S ribosomal RNA". It matches the Rfam family "Bacterial small subunit ribosomal RNA", at positions 30 to 507 of the family's 1533-position model. The record is from RNAcentral.